UAACAGGAUUAGAUACCCUGGUAGUCCACGCCCUAAACGAUGAUCACUAGCUAUUGGAAAAACGAUAUUCAGUGGCUUAGCGAAAGCGAUAAGUGAUCCACCUGGGAAGUACAGUCGCAAGAUUGAAACUCAAAGGAAUUGACGGGGGUUCGCACAAGCGGUGGAGCAUGUGGUUUAAUUCGAUGAUACGCGAGGAACCUUACCAAGGCUUAAAUGUAUUACGAAUAAGCUGGAAACAGUUUAGUCUGUAUGACGUAUUACAAGGUGCUGCAUGGUUGUCUUCAGUUCGUGCUGUGAAGUGUUUGGUUAAGUCCUAUAACGAGCGCAACCCCUAUUGUUAGUUGCCAUCGGGUAAAGCCGGGGACUCUAACAAAACUGCCGGUGUAAACUGUGAGGAAAGUGGGGAUGAUGUCAAAUCAUCAUGGCCUCUAUGUCUUGGGCUACACACGUGCUACAAUGGCUGGGUUACAAAGGGUCGCCACUGGGUGACCAGGAGCUAAUCCUUAAAACCGGUCUAAGUUCGGAUUGCAGUCUGCAAUUCGACUCUAUGAAGCCGGAAUCGCUAGUAAUCGCACA
RNAcentral lists this ribosomal RNA (576 nucleotides) under uncultured Ulvibacter sp. RNAcentral describes it as "bacterial SSU rRNA". It matches the Rfam family "Bacterial small subunit ribosomal RNA", at positions 770 to 1348 of the family's 1533-position model. Lineage: Bacteria; Pseudomonadati; Bacteroidota; Flavobacteriia; Flavobacteriales; Flavobacteriaceae. The record is from RNAcentral.